GUGCUCACUUUGACAGCACAUAUACUAAACUUGGAAUGAUUCAGAGAAGAUUAGCAUGGCCCCUGCACAAGGAUGACACGCAGGUUCGUGAAGUGUUCCAUAUUAAA
RNAcentral lists this small nuclear RNA (107 nucleotides) under Prolemur simus (greater bamboo lemur). The record is from RNAcentral. Lineage: Eukaryota; Metazoa; Chordata; Mammalia; Primates; Lemuridae.